This 335-nucleotide unclassified non-coding RNA is filed under the name soil metagenome. RNAcentral's name for it is "partial contains 5.8S ribosomal RNA, internal transcribed spacer 2, and large subunit ribosomal RNA". The stretch from base 4 to 119 matches the Rfam family "5.8S ribosomal RNA", at positions 39 to 154 of the family's 154-position model. The record is from RNAcentral.
GAUAAGAACGUAGUGAAAUGCGAUAAGUAAUGUGAAUUGCAGAAUUCAGUGAAUCAUCGAAUCUUUGAACGCACAUUGCGCCCGCCAGUAUUCUGGCGGGCAUGCCUGUUCGAGCGUCAUUUCAACCAUCAAGCCCCCGGGCUUGUGUUGGGGACCUGCGGCUGCCGCAGGCCCUGAAAAGCAGUGGCGGGCUCGCUGUCACACCGAGCGUAGUAGCAUACAUCUCGCUCUGGGCGUGCUGCGGGUUCCGGCCGUUAAACCACCUUUUAACCCAAGGUUGACCUCGGAUCAGGUAGGAAGACCCGCUGAACUUAAGCAUAUCAAUAAGCGGAGGA